RNAcentral lists this ribosomal RNA (495 nucleotides) under uncultured bacterium. RNAcentral's name for it is "partial 16S ribosomal RNA". It matches the Rfam family "Bacterial small subunit ribosomal RNA", at positions 28 to 507 of the family's 1533-position model. The record is from RNAcentral.
GACGAACGCUGGCGGCGUGCCUAAUACAUGCAAGUCGAACGCUGAAGGAGGAGCUUGCUCUUCUGGAUGAGUUGCGAACGGGUGAGUAACGCGUAGGUAACCUGCCUGGUAGCGGGGGAUAACCAUUGGAAACGAUAGCUAAUACCGCAUAAUAGUAGAUGUUGCAUGAUAUUUACUUAAAAGGUGCAAUUGCACCACUACCAGAUGGACCUGCGUUGUAUUAGCUAGUUGGUGGGGUAACGGCUCACCAAGGCGACGAUACAUAGCCGACCUGAGAGGGUGAUCGGCAACACUGGGACUGAGACACGGCCCAGACUCCUACGGGAGGCAGCAGUAGGGAAUCUUCGGCAAUGGACGAAAGUCUGAACGAGCAACGCCGCGUGAGUGAAGAAGGUUUUCGGAUCGUAAAGCUCUGUUGUAAGAGAAGAACGAGUGUGAGAGUGGAAAGUUCACACUGUGACGGUAUCUUACCAGAAAGGGACGGCUAACUACGUG